ACCUGAGGAGAAGUUCAGCUGGCGGUGACUCCAUGUUUCUUAUGAAAACACAGGCCCUAAUGCAGGAAAAUGGUUUUAAAAAUGUUUAUGGAAUAUUUCUUCAACCAUGACAUGCGAGGAGAUUCUUCAGACUCCUGUGGAACAAUGGGAUCCUCUGAAGUACGGCGAGUGAAGCUGUGACAGGAAGGAAGCCUUUUGCGGCAGAGAACAACAAAACAAAAAGCUCUGUCCUGUCAGCUCACCUCAGAUAAUCCAAUGCCAGUGACAGAGGGGGUGCACUGCUGUUUCCAGCAGAGUAGUUUUAACUGGCGUUUAGACCAGCCUGGGGAUCCAGAGGGGAGCUGAGGCCGAGCGUGGUGGGCUGCCGGAAGGAUGGUGCAUCUGAGCGUCAGAGGGUGAAGAAGGAUUGCCUUUCACGAAUUACGAGCCAUUAAAUCAGAGCCUGGAAAUCUCAAGGUUCCCCAAGACUGCUGCACAAGGAAUCUGGGCUGGAGAAAUAUUGUUUAUGGUUUAAAAGGCCUGGCGAUGGAUUUAUAAAAGAAACAUUCAUCAUUGCAGGAAAACGGAACAAAACA
Hippoglossus stenolepis (Pacific halibut) is the source of this 575-nucleotide long non-coding RNA. RefSeq lists it as uncharacterized. Lineage: Eukaryota; Metazoa; Chordata; Actinopteri; Pleuronectiformes; Pleuronectidae. The transcript has 3 exons. The record is from RefSeq and is a predicted model, not a curated record.